Molecule: ribosomal RNA, 253 nt
Filed under: uncultured prokaryote
Description: partial 16S ribosomal RNA
Rfam family: Bacterial small subunit ribosomal RNA
Source: RNAcentral
UACGAAGGGGGCUAGCGUUGUUCGGAUUUACUGGGCGUAAAGCGCACGUAGGCGGACAUUUAAGUCAGGGGUGAAAUCCCAGAGCUCAACUCUGGAACUGCCUUUGAUACUGGAUGUCUGGAGUAUGGAAGAGGUAAGUGGAAUUCCGAGUGUAGAGGUGAAAUUCGUAGAUAUUCGGAGGAACACCAGUGGCGAAGGCGGCUUACUGGUCCAUUACUGACGCUGAGGUGCGAAAGCGUGGGGAGCAAACAGG